GGCUCAGGACGAACGCUGGCGGCGUGCCUAAUACAUGCAAGUCGAGCGAGCUUGCCUAGAUGAUUUUAGUGCUUGCACUAAAUGAAACUAGAUACAAGCGAGCGGCGGACGGGUGAGUAACACGUGGGUAACCUGCCCAAGAGACUGGGAUAACACCUGGAAACAGAUGCUAAUACCGGAUAACAACACUAGACGCAUGUCUAGAGUUUGAAAGAUGGUUCUGCUAUCACUCUUGGAUGGACCUGCGGUGCAUUAGCUAGUUGGUAAGGUAACGGCUUACCAAGGCAAUGAUGCAUAGCCGAGUUGAGAGACUGAUCGGCCACAUUGGGACUGAGACACGGCCCAAACUCCUACGGGAGGCAGCAGUAGGGAAUCUUCCACAAUGGACGAAAGUCUGAUGGAGCAACGCCGCGUGAGUGAAGAAGGGUUUCGGCUCGUAAAGCUCUGUUGGUAGUGAAGAAAGAUAGAGGUAGUAACUGGCCUUUAUUUGACGGUAAUUACUUAGAGAGUCACGGCUAACUA
RNAcentral lists this ribosomal RNA (522 nucleotides) under uncultured bacterium. RNAcentral's name for it is "bacterial SSU rRNA". It matches the Rfam family "Bacterial small subunit ribosomal RNA", at positions 21 to 503 of the family's 1533-position model. The record is from RNAcentral.